GUGCACCGUGGGAAGUAGAAUCGGCUUGGCGUUCGGAACUUUCCGCCAGACCGCUGGAGGGUAGCGGAUGACGAGAGCGAGGCGUGCGAAGCAGCCGUUGUUGUCGAGGCCGCUUUCGAGUGUUUCCGGAAAACAGGCGGAACUUCCCGAAGCCCGGCGGAGGCGGCCAUGUUGGGAGCCUCCGCUGUGUGAAGCUGAGGGGCGGCGAGUAGAGCUCGGGCACCGGCAGUGACGGGAAAACGGUGUCCGGGCCCAGUUCUGGAGGCGCGCGGGGGCUCGGAAGCCUCAGACCAGACAAAGGCUCGCUUUGGGUCCCGGCGUUUCCCCGCUUCGGGUUUUUUCGACCGGUGCGGCCUUGUCCCCGCGCCUCAUCCUCGGCCUCGCGUGAACUGUCAAGCCGGGCACCCCUCAUUCAAAGCCGGCGGGGCGCGGGACCCACCUAUGUAUAGGCGGUGCUGGUGCCUUCCGACCACCCAUUGAGCCCCAUUUCCCCCAUGCUGGUGGCUUGGCCGCCCCCCUCGCCGUGAGGAGGAGGAGGAGGAGGAGGAGGAAGAGCCGGAGGAGGAGGAAGACCCCGACCCCUUCCAGCUGGGUCAGGGCGAAGGAGAAGGGGAAGCAGCUGAGCAGCAGUGGGGGGACUCUCCCCUCAGGCCCUGCCCAAGGGAGCCAUGUCGAACAGUGGUCGGAGUCCCCUGCCCACCCUCAAUGAGAGAGACACGGAGCAGGUAAAAGGGCUGGAUGUGCAUUUGGGGAGGGGGUGGGAUCCAAUAGGGAAACCUGGGGGUUCCUUGAUCCCACAUAUAUUCCUUCUGUUGGGGUUAAUGUGGAUGGGGCGGCAUGUCUAGGUUCUUCUUUGAAAGGAAAAAGGAAAAGUGAUCCUGGUUCGGUUAGCCCAGCACAUGUGGGAAAUUUAGCAGAGGGAAUCUUCUUUUCCCAUGUCACAGAAAUGUAGUGGUACAUCUGUUUGUGUGGGUAAGUGAAGCCUCCCACGUAUUCCCCCCCCUCCCCCACCAGGCUGUUGUCAGAAAGCAGACAGAUAUUUUUAAAAACAUAGCACCACACGGGUGGCGAUCCUGCAUGGGAAGCUGGAUAAGUGCUGUCCCUUUAAGAGUUGCGUGGUAGGGAGAAUCUAGCCAGAUGAGAUGUUCUUCACCUCCCACCCAUUCCCCCUCCUCAGUCUAAGUCUCUGGAGCACUGUGAUGGGAAUAGCUUAAGGCUGCCACUUUCCUUUUUAACUGCCUGUGUUCCUGUGCCUUUUAAAAAACCUAUAAAAGCAUUUUGAGGCAUGCAGAAAUAUAGCAGGUGAAGCGUUGUUCAGCUGUUUGUGCCAUUCCAGGGAGUGUGCUUCUCUUGUUUUUAUUUCCUGUUUGAUAGGCAGGUGCAGGGAAAGAUUGAAAAGGUACAGAAAAGAAGGGGCAACCCUGACCUCCUCUGUGCUCCAAAGAUUUGGGGGUGGGGGAGGAGCUUGAUCUGACUUGAUUUUCCGUUCCAUGUACUGUAAUGUUUAAAGGGGAGCAUUCUUCGUGGAGCAGCUUCCCAUGAAGGGAUAUUGUUACUUCUUUUUUCUUUUUUUAAAGUGACUCUGCUCCUGUGCUGCUUUUCAACAGUAGGUUGUUGUGGAGAAAUUCAACAGGCAUAACUCUCACCACCACUGAUUCAUCUCUUAUGUGGGGGAUGCAAGAGAAAGCUUACCUUUCUAGAUUUCAUGAGCAGGGUUAACAAAGCAACUGAAUGAAUGGCAACCCUGCCCUGUAAACUUUGGACAAGGCUUGAGUGCUAGGAGGAGGCUGGGAAAGGAAACCUCCAGGCUUACCUUCUUCUUGUAAAGGUGGAUGUGUGGGGUAAUUGGAGUGGUGGUAGAAGUGAAUAACAUGCAGGGUAGCAUCCAGGAGGGUAGGUAAAAACACCAGGAGUUGGGGAAGAAGUGGCUAUUUGGGUGGAGUUACUAAUACCUGUUACUUGCUUGGGACAUUGUGAAAGGUAUUGCUUUGGUGAAUGGUUUGGGUAACAAGCAGCCACCACUGGGAUGAAUGAAUCACAGGAAGGUGCAGCUAAAGGUGGUUAGAGAAUAUUUUUCUUGCAUCUUUUCUCUUUUUAUCCAGAAAGAACACUUGGGAACGGUACUUAAUAGUGAACAGUGCUGGUACUGAGAGGAGCUGUUUUGGUUUGCUUGCUGGACUGAAGAAGGCAAUUGAGCAAUGGAUAAGAGGAUGAGGUUGAAUUGUCAGGAAUUGCAUGUGUGUGUAAUCUUGCAUUUUAUUCUGGGAGAUUGAGUCAUUGAGUAGUCUUCCCCUUUUUGCUCUUUUGUGGCAGGGAGUGCUGUUGUGGGAUGCAUUGGGGAGCCAACUCAAUCUAGAAGGCUGCAGGAGGUUGAAAUACCAUGUGGAAACAUCACUCUUCUUCUCCCAUUCCCCCAUCCCACUUAAGUACCACUCUUGCCUUCAUGCUUCUCUUUGGAUUAUUAUUUUGGAUUGAGGAAGCUAGUCAGUGAAGCAGGUAGAGGAUAGCACAUUUUCUGACAUGCAGAUAGGUCAACUACCUCAACUGAGUUUGAGGUUUGAUGUUGCCCAAAUGAUACCUUAAACCACCGAUAAGAUUGCAAAGUCUGGUUCUGAGAGGUAUAUGUCAGGAACACUCUUUCACUUAGGUUCAGUCCCCAUUCUGGAGUGCACUACCAUGGGGGUUAUCUCUGAACAUGAUGUAUGUGUGAUAGCACAAGUGAAUUGCCCAGGUGCUGUGGACAAAGGGCAUCUCCUCAAUGAAGGUAUACCAUUUUCAUGCACUUAAAAGGGGUUUCAUCCAAGAGUUUGAAGCAACAUCUUAACAUGCGUUCCCCCCCAGCUGACAUACCUUUAGAGCUUCCAAGUGAUGAGGCAUCAUCUUGUUUGGGUGACUUCUGAGUGCCUACCUAAUCUAUCUGUGGCCAAUUUUGUAGAUGACACAGUUCAAGUGCUGAAAGCACUCCACACGUGUUGUUCAGGUAAUCUUUGUAAUCUAAAGUAGAGCAAUAUUGUCCCUAUGUUUCAAGUGUCGGGUGGAGACUGAGAGAAGUAUGGUUUCACCAAGGCCACCUACUGAGUUUGUGGUGAGGUGCAGUUUGGACAUGAGACUUCUCAGCUGCUAUGCUACAUGUGGAAUGCACAUAGAAUAUUUCAGUUUUAUAAGCUACCUUCUUUCAAACUAGGAGCAUUGCUGGGUCAGGCCAGAGGACGAUCUACUGCUGCAUCCUAUUCUCACAGUGACCAAGCAGAUGCCCUAAAACAGAGCUUUCCAAAAUGUGUCGCGACAUGUUAGUGUGUUGGCUACAGUGUGUAGGUAUGUUGUGCGAAUGCUCCCCGCGCUCCUCCUGGGGCUGGAAAUGAGUUAGUUUAACCUCUAGUUUGCUAGUAAAACUGAAUUACUGUGUCACGAAAUGAUGCAUGUCUAAAAAGUGUGUCACCAACAUGAAAAGUUUAGAAAGCUCUGCCCUAAAGGGAAGCACGCAAACAGGACCUGAGUGCAACAGCAACUCCCCGCACUUGUAGUUCUCAACAACUGGUAUUCCAAAGCGUACUGCUUCUGAACUGAGGCCAGAACAUAGACAUUGAUGGCCUUACCCUCUAAGGUGGUGGCCAUCACUACCCUCCUCUUGGUAUAAGUUCCAUAGUUUAUCUGUGCUGUGUGAUUAUGUGCUGUACAAAGGAAGUACAUUCUUUCGUAUGUCCUCUUUCUUUUAUCUGUCCUGAAUCUUCCAACAACCUUCCCUUGCCUGCCAUAGCUUAUUUUUUGCUACUGUACAUGAGGAGUGAUCAUGUGUACUCUCUCCUGCCUCCUUACAUCACUUGACUGCCCCCAGAACCAGCACUCCCUCAGAGCUGAGAAGAGGAUAAAAACCCGCUUCCCACCCUUUUUGUCUCAUUCAUCCCUCUUACGUGCCUAUUUCUCUCUCCAACAGCUUUUUGCUCUUGUGGGCUGCUCUUUGCAGCUUCCGCAAUCUCUUAAUUGCGUUGGUGGGACAAUUCUUUCUUUGGUUGGGCUGGGGCAGGUGGGUGGAGGAAUGCAUCAAGGAUUAGGUGAGCUGUAGCUGAUGGUUAAAAAUUUCCUCUGUAGUUAUACAAUAAAUGUAUCUUGGGCCACAUCCACACCAUACAUUUGAAACCACAUUAACAAUCGUGAAUUCUCCCAGGGAUUCCCAGGAAGUAUAGUUUGUUAGGUAUGCUGAGAGUUGUUAGGAGUCCUCUAUUCCCCUCUCAGAGCCACAAUUCCUAAAGUGGUUUAACAACCAAACCCUCUUCCCAGUGGAAUUGUAGCUCUGUGUGGGGAAUAGGGGUGUCCUAACACCUGUCAGUACCUUUAACAAUCUGCAGUUCCCAUGAUCAUUUGCGGGAAGCCAUGGCUCUUAAAGUACUAUUAUACCACUUUAACUGUCUAGUGCGGAUGUGGGCUUGCCCUUGGUAGUUCAGCCCUAUGAGGAGGCAUGGUUGAGCUGUAGCUUGUGGGUGCCAUUAAUGGGGUGACUCAGUGGCAGACAGAGACAGAUUUAGGUGGCACAAUCCACUGAGAAUUUCUCCCGCACGUUCCUCAUUAAAGUGAAUGAGAAUGCAAGUACAAGAACUCAGUUCAUUUUUUUCAACAGUGCCACCUUGUCUUUAGCUGUGAUUCCUUAACUGCAGGGGUUGGGCUAGAUGACCCUUGGGUGUACCUUCCAUCUCUACAAUUCUUUGAGUCUAUGAUAAUAUCCUGAUGGAUUGUGCUCCAAAUUACAGUAUUGAGUUGUGGAUGGUAGUGGAAUGGGGAAAGGGCUGUAGAGCUUUGCAUGCAGGAGACUCCUGGUUCAAUCCCCAUCAUCUCCAGAAUGAGAAAACCUCAUGUUGGAAACCCUGGAGAGCUGCUGCCUGCCAUUGUAGACAGUACUGAGCUUGAUGGACCCAAUGGUCUGACUUUGCAAAGGCAGAUUCCUAUAUUCCAAUGAGAGUUUGCUGUUUGGGGUUGUCCAGUGUGUGUACUGACUCAUUUCCAGCAAUUUAUAAACUUCUCCAUUUCAGCUUGCAGUGGCUGCACCUCACUUUGGAAGUUGAACACUAUUACUUUAGGGUGAAGGGUGGGUAAUUAAUGGUGGUAAAGGUAAAGGGACCCCUGACCAUUAGGUCCAGUUGUGGCAGACUCUGGGGUUGCGGUGCUCAUCUUGCUUUAUUGACUGAGGGAGCUGGCAUACAGCUUCCAGGUCAUGUGGCCAGCAUGACUAAGCCGCUUCUGACGAACCAGAGCAGCGCACGGAAACGCUGUUUACCUUCCCGCCGGAGCGGUAUACCUAUUUAUCUACUUGCACUUUGACGUGCUUUCGAACUGCUAGGUUGGCGGGAGCAGGGACUGAGCAACGGGAGCUCACCCCGUCGCGGGGAUUCGAACUGCCGACCUUCUGAUCGGCAAGUCCUAGGCUCUGUGGUUUAACCCACAGCGCCAACCGCGUUCCUUAUUAAUGGUGGUAGUAGUAGUAAUAAUAAUGCAUCACACUGUCCCGUCUUUGCCAGGGUGAUCGGUAAUCCUGAGCCCCUUCCUUAUUCUGUAUCUUUCCAUUUAGCGACACCUUGAAUCCCCUGCCCUAUUAUGUGAUGCUGUUGCUUGCUCUUUCUGUUUUCUGACAUAUUUUUGGCCUUAUGAGAAGGUUGGGAAAUAACUGCUGCUGCCUCUUUGGGGAAGGGCCAUUGUUCAAUAGUAUUGCGGCUUUGCAUGCAGAAGUUUCCAGGUUUGAUCCCUGGCACCUUUGCAUAGGGCUGGAAAUGUCCCCUGUUAGAAACCCUGGAGAGCCACCAUCAGAGUAGACAGUGAGCUAGAUGGAGUCUGUGCAAGGCAACAUCCAAUGUCUAAGAGAUGCUGUUUCCUUUGCUAGCACACUGGGCGCUCUGCCUUUGAAACUCCUACCCUAGUAAAUUUCUCCCUUCUCCUUAGAAAGUAACUUCCUAAGGUGACACUUCCUGAUCUUCCCAGAGGUGGGGACAUGUUAGUCUGGUGCAGCAAAAAUAACUAAGAGUCUUGUGGCAACUUAAAGACUUAGCACAUUUAUUGCAGCAUAAGCUUUUUUGGACGCAUCUGAUGAUACAUGAAUUGUUAUCCUGAGUUACACAGGUGUAUACAGUAUAUUCACAUGGUUUGGUGGCUGGCUGGCUGUAAACAGUGAGGUCAGAGGGAAAUGAAAUGCAGAGAGUGAUAAUUACAUAAUUAACUAUGGUAAUUCACAAAACAGUUAUUGAUAAUAAAGACAUCCUGGCAUUGAUAUGCCAAUUAACACACACACAGUGCGUUGAAAUCCUUUGUCUUGAGUUAAUUCACAGGUGAUGGUAUUAAAACUCUUGCUGUAUUGAAAUCCAGCACUUCCGUGUUGCUAUUUCACUUGUGAUGUUCCAGAAUCGCUACUUUAAGGUCAUCUACAAGAGAAUAUUUUGGGUGGGUGAAAUGUUCCCCCUGCUAGCUUUUUAAUAUAGACCUUUCUGAUGUCAGGUUUGUGUCCAUUAUUCUUUUGGAUAGAGACUGGUCUGUUUGUCCUACAUAGAAUGUAGAAGGGCAUUCCUGACAAAUGAUGCCAUAUAUCACAUUGGAAUAUGAGCAGGUGAAUGAACACUUGAUGUCGUGGAUGACAUUAUUAGGUCCUGUGAUAGUGUUGCCAGGGUAGACAUGGGGAUAGAGUUGGCAUCUGCUGCUCAUAAUAACUUAUGUGCUCUGCUGGAUCACCUGUGUGGUGCUACCGCUCUUCCUCAUAUUUUCUGUUUCCAUCAUUUCAGAUCCCUUCUCAGAAUCACCCUCCACAAAGCCUUUGGUUCAACUGCACAUUCCUCAUCACAGUGCUAUAGGUUGGGGAAACCUGUGACAUGCCCGCCCUCUCAUCCAGCCCUCUGGAUGUUGUUUGUUUGUUUGUUUAUCAUACUUAUGUGCCUCUUAAGGCAGCCUGUAAGUACAGUGGUACCUCUGGAUGAGAAUGGGAUCUGUUCCGGAGCCCUGUUCUCAUCCUUGAAGCGAACGCAACCUGCGCGGGUCGCGAUUCGCUGCUUCUGCACAUGCGUGUGACGUCAUUUUGAGCGCAUGCACGAGCGGUGAAACCCGCAAAUAAUGCGUUCCAUAAUUUCCGGGUCGCCGCGGAGCGUAACCUGAAAACUCUCAACCUGAAGCAACUUUAACCCGAGGUAUGACUGUAAACCAUAAUAAUAAAUACAGUAUAUGUAGCAGUGAAACCAAGAAAGUACAAUGCAUCUACGAUAUGGGCUCUUUGGGGGGAGUGGUAAGGUAUGAAGCCAAUAAGUAAUAAUAAAUAAGAAUUAUCGCUUCUUGGCCUUUUGGCUAAGAUCAAGUGUAGUGUAAAUAAGAAUUCAAUGCAAUAUUAAACAAAGCUGCAAUACAGUUCAAUAAAACAAUAAAUCUUUAAAAACAAAAGCAUAGCCACACCUUUUGAGAGAUGUCCUUAGAGUCAGUUAUCUGCUGGGAGUGGCUCCAGGCCCUGUUAGCCUUCGCCAGCACAGCUAAUGGCCAUGGAUAAUGGGAACUUCAGUCCAGCAAUGUCUGGAGGGCCAAAGGUGAGCCACCCUCAAUAUAAGGUCUUUCAGUAAUUAUAAUAAUUCAUGAUUUCUUCUGGCUUCUCAUCGUGCAGUUUUACAUGGCCCUUGUUAAAAUGUUGAUUUUAUUAGUAUGGUUUUGAUUUGUAUUCUGUCUUGGAAAGUUACUUAGAAAGGUAGCGUAUGCAUAAUGCACUGAUAACAACAAUUGAUUAAUAGAAUAAAAAUCCGUUUUGGAUCAUCCUUGGAAAGAUUCUUGCAACUCUCUAAUCCAAGCAGGUUAAAUAGCAGUGAGGGUAACUGAUUGGUGUAUUAAGCGUUACUUACUCUCCACUGUUGUGUGUGUGUGUUUUGAAAAGGGGGGGAGUUGUGCUUUUCCAGAAGGUAGUUGCAGGGUGGGGCAAGACAGGGUGCAGCAACUGUUCCGGUUCUGCAAAGACUGUGAGCGCACCUUGUGACGUGCUUAACAGAUUACAGGGGAAAGGUAGCAAGGGUAGGUAGGGGUGGUUACUUGAAAACACCAGCUGCAGGAGAGAGGCCUGGCAGGCCUUGAAUUCCUUCUCAAUGAGCCUUCACCCACUGGCUUUGCUGUCCUCUCCUCCUCCGGUGAGUCUCCUCAGGCCCUGCGGGUCAGCAGUAGUGCCGCCUCCUCAGUUUUGGCUCCCACAGCUGCCUUCCACUUGAUUGUGCUUUUCCUUAUUUUCCCAGGGGAGAGUGGUCGCCCUCCCUAUGUGUUACAGAGGGGAGGGGGUGGGAAGCCUCUAACUCCAGUCUUUGGGGCUCUCCUCUUUCUUGCUUUCUCUGCAAGCGCAUGCAUGUGUCUUAGCAACAGGGCCUGAAAAGGACAGCUAGCAUGGAAAUGAGACAAGUAUAACAGUGGACUAAAUAUAUCUCCAGCAUCCUUUAUCUUAGGGGUGGCAGAGGAAGG
This is a non-coding RNA of Podarcis lilfordi (Lilford's wall lizard), 8451 nucleotides long. The record is from the annotation of a GenBank genome assembly. Lineage: Eukaryota; Metazoa; Chordata; Lepidosauria; Squamata; Lacertidae.